RNAcentral lists this transfer RNA (87 nucleotides) under Candidatus Gottesmanbacteria bacterium RBG_13_45_10. Its description in RNAcentral is "tRNA-Leu". It matches the Rfam family "tRNA". Rfam says of the family: Transfer RNA (tRNA) molecules are approximately 80 nucleotides in length. The record is from RNAcentral. Lineage: Bacteria; Candidatus Gottesmaniibacteriota.
GGUUCGGUGGCGGAAUAGGUAUACGCGCAGCACUUAAAAUGCUGUGGUGACAACACCUUGAGGGUCCGAGUCCCUCCCGAACCACAA